CACACACACACACACACACACACACACGCAGUCACAGGAGGAACUUGCAAACUCCGUAUCGGCCGGCACGAGAAUCCAGCCCGGAUCACUGCUGAUGCUGUAACUACAUGCGGAGAGCAGAUAAUGACGCAGGAACUUAAGAGGAACUUAUUUCUAAUUUACAAAAUUUAAUGAGCAAAAACCUCACGAGCUUGAAAUAAUACGAGGAUUCGCUUUUGGCUGUAGGCAAACCCUUUUCAGGACCAAUCUACGUCUGAUACCUAACUAUAUCGCUCUCCUACGCUUAAAUCUGAGAGUAACUAAUCUUAAAUCUGAUGUCUGUGUAUGGUUUUGUGAUAAUGCUAUAUUAACGUUUUUUGAGGACGAGAAGAGUAUAGCAGGAUUCUACUUUUAAUGUUGCUUCAGUGGAUAAUAAUAUUUUCACGUCUUUUUAAACCUUAUUUUAAAACGCUUAUUUAAAUAAUGGUUUCAUUUCAGGACUGAAAACGUGUUCAUUAAACGUGAUCAAUCAGUUAUUCUCAUAACUCAUAACUCAUAACUACAUCACUCAUAAACGCCAUUUCACUUUUAUUGCUUUUUCUUUUUAUACUACUACUACUACUACUACUACUAAUAAUAAUAAUAAUAACAAUAAACCAAAGACAUAUACGAAAUUGACAAAGAAUCCACAAACUAAAUACAGAACCAACAAAACACAACAAAGAAUAUAAAAUAGUACAAGUACAAGACAAGAACACAGAAGUAACAAUGAUAACAAUAGUAGGUUAAUUGUUAUACUUUAUAUUUGUAUAUAUGGUAAAUUAUAAUUACGAAUGUAAACAUUUUAUGAACUUGUUUACAUGAACUCUCUAUGGCUUGCGUUGGCGACGCAGCGGGUAUGUAUUCGUGUCUAAAGUCUACAUGUUUUUGCAUUCGCAUUUACUGAAGGGUGGGCGUGUCGUUUAGAGGAAAAAAGACAAGGCAGAAAAAAAUACAUUCAUGGAUUACAGCCUCUCCUGAAAAGAAACAAGCUUAUGGUGCCACCUAAUGCGCAAACACAAAAUAGCAACUAAGAUAGCAACCUUAAUGGUGCCUUGUGCUUUAUAAGGAAUUUCCUCGCACUAAAUUAUCAAUUUAGUGAAACACUGAGAUCGAGUCUUUAGUAACUUUGCCCUAAAAGUAAACUUACUUCAACUACAACAUUAAACUUUAGGAUACGUUCAACUUGCCUGUUGACAUAUUUUAAGAUUUACGUUUAAAUAGCCUAUUGUGGGUUUGUGCAAAACGUAGUUUGAGCACCUUAGUGCGGAUUUAAGAGUUUACGCAACACCAAACUAAGUUUCUGAGACAUUGCUUGUAUAUGUGAUACAAUACAGAGAAAAAAUCUGCGUCAUGGACCUAUGGACACUGACCUUCGACGCAUGUCUAGACCACUGGCCGCACUACAGGAUUAAUGCAGAUAAGAUUUUAUGAAUGGAUAAUAAAAUUACGUUCCUUUUCUCAA
This is a non-coding RNA of Electrophorus electricus (electric eel), 1483 nucleotides long. The record is from RefSeq and is a predicted model, not a curated record. NCBI's taxonomy places the organism in Eukaryota, Metazoa, Chordata, Actinopteri, Gymnotiformes, Gymnotidae.